UGUAGCCUCAUUGUUGGUAUUUCAUUAA
Molecule: non-coding RNA, 28 nt
Filed under: Rattus norvegicus (Norway rat)
Lineage: Eukaryota; Metazoa; Chordata; Mammalia; Rodentia; Muridae
Source: RNAcentral